UUAUGAAUUCAAUGAACACACAUUAUUUUAACGUUCUAUGUGCAACUAUUUGUCGGGGCGCCCCUGUUUGUAACCCCCGCGCGCGCGCCGAAUGUAAACAGUAACGAACGGCAUUGUAGAAAAGAGAGAGCCGUAAUGCAGAAGAGAAGUUGUGUAUUCUUUCGAUGUACAAAUGCAUUUUCAAUUUACUGUGAAACAUAUGAACAUGCACAGGGAACAAUACUACAUAUUUGUUUAAGGAGGAUAUUUUUCUCGUGUGAAUCGUUUACGAGGAAAUUCUGACAGCCACACUUCUGUCGACGAUCAGCCGUUGAUAAGCUACGAGUAAUAAAGGAGAAAAGAUGGACAUUAAAGUGUGUGAUUUAUGUGGAUGUUACUGAAGAAGCUCAAAACAGACUCUUGUUACCACAUGGCUUUUACCGGUACCUGUUGAUUCUUGUGGGUCAGCUCCUGAGAUUAACCUGUCACCUCUAUCAACAUGCAUAUUCCUUGUGUUCUACAGACUAUUUACCGGUAAUUCAAAUUAAAUCCGAUAAUGCAUGAACAAUAAUGGAACUUGAAGAAAGCAUCAUGCCAUGUUGUGGUUUGUGUUUGAUAAGAAAUUAUGAAAACAAAAUUAAGGCUGUUUAUAAAGAAAUUCAUAAUUGCUGUGAAAAUUUGUUUUUCAAUAAAAGUAUGCAAUUAU
Long non-coding RNA from Magallana angulata, 685 nucleotides. RefSeq lists it as uncharacterized. The record is from RefSeq and is a predicted model, not a curated record. The transcript has 2 exons. Lineage: Eukaryota; Metazoa; Mollusca; Bivalvia; Ostreida; Ostreidae.